Molecule: small nuclear RNA, 148 nt
Organism: Heterocephalus glaber (naked mole-rat)
Lineage: Eukaryota; Metazoa; Chordata; Mammalia; Rodentia; Bathyergidae
Gene: U4
Rfam family: U4 spliceosomal RNA
About the family: U4 small nuclear RNA (U4 snRNA) is a component of the major U2-dependent spliceosome. The structure of U4 snRNA from yeast and human has been reported.
Source: Ensembl
AGCUUUGUGCCGUGGCACUGUCGUAGCCAAUGAGGUUUAUCCGAGGCGCGAUUAUUGCUAAUUGAAAACAACACAAAUGUAUUUUUACAGAUUGAACUGUUCCCUCUAAAAUUUAUAUGUUGAGGGCCGGGAAUUUAGCUCAGUGGCA